AGCAGCCGCGGUAAUUCCAGCUCCAAUAGCGUAUAUUAAAGUUGUUGCAGUUAAAAAGCUCGUAGUUGAAUUUCGGGGUCAGUAGGUUGGUCGUGCCACUGGUAUGCACUGGCCUUGCUGAUUCCUCCCUCUUGAUGAGCCGUAAUGCCAUUAAUUUGGUGUUGCGGGGAAUCAGGACUGUUACUUUGAAAAAAUUAGAGUGUUUAAAGCAGGCAAGCGCUUGAAUACAUUAGCAUGGAAUAAUGAAAUAGGACGUUCGAUCCUAUUUUGUUGGUUUCUAGGAUUGACGUAAUGAUUAAUAGGGAUAGUUGGGGGCAUUAGUAUUCAAUUGUCAGAGGUGAAAUUCUUGGAUUUAUUGAAGACUAACUACUGCGAAAGCAUUUGCCAAGGAUGUUUUCAUUAAUCAAGAACGAAAGUUAGGGGAUCGAAGACGAUCAGAUACCGUCGUAGUCUUAACCAUAAACUAUGCCGACUAGGGAUCGGAUGAUGUUAAUUUUUUAUGACUCAUUC
Molecule: ribosomal RNA, 510 nt
Filed under: uncultured Glomus
Lineage: Eukaryota; Fungi; Glomeromycota; Glomeromycetes; Glomerales; Glomeraceae
Description: SSU rRNA
Rfam family: Eukaryotic small subunit ribosomal RNA
Source: RNAcentral